RNAcentral lists this transfer RNA (84 nucleotides) under Myxococcota bacterium. RNAcentral describes it as "tRNA-Leu". It matches the Rfam family "tRNA". From Rfam's summary of the family: Transfer RNA (tRNA) molecules are approximately 80 nucleotides in length. Their secondary structure includes four short double-helical elements and three loops (D, anti-codon, and T loops). Further hydrogen bonds mediate the characteristic L-shaped molecular structure. tRNAs have two regions of fundamental functional importance: the anti-codon, which is responsible for specific mRNA codon recognition, and the 3' end, to which the tRNAs corresponding amino acid is attached (by aminoacyl-tRNA synthetases). tRNAs cope with the degeneracy of the genetic code in two manners: having more than one tRNA (with a specific anti-codon) for a particular amino acid; and 'wobble' base-pairing, i.e. permitting non-standard base-pairing at the 3rd anti-codon position. Lineage: Bacteria; Pseudomonadati; Myxococcota. The record is from RNAcentral.
GGCCCCUUGGCGGAAUAGGCAGACGCAGCGGACUUAAAAUCCGCGGCUCGAAAGAGUGUUCGGGUUCGAGUCCCGAAGGGGCCA